CACUAACGGGGAAAGAAGACCCUGUUGAGCUAGACUCUAGUCUGGUAUUGUAACGCGAUAUAGGAGGUGCAGCAUAGGUGGGAGGGCUUCCUUGUGGAGCUCGGCUCUGAGAUACCACCACUCUUUACUGUUGCCUUACUUACAUGAUUGGGUGGAACAAGCGCGGGCCCCAGGUCCGGAUCGUGCGCGCACCUCCUACAUUGGGCAAACGCCUGUAUAAAAAUCGAAAAACCAACUUUAUCGCAGGUUAACACCAUAAUCAUUUUCUUAAAAUAGAUACUUAAACUUAGUUGAAACCAAAAUAUUUCACGUUUUUAUCUUGAACUUACUGGGAUAUAGGCCAUCAAAGUGUAAACUUUGUGUUUUUUGUCCCAAAUUUGAGCAAUUAUUCGACCGAACAUAAACCAUCAUAUUUUUGUAUAUGAUGGUUAGAUUUUGAUAAUUAAUGUGUUGUUGAAAAGGUUUUUUGUCAUACUUUGAUGUUAUGUCAGAAUAUUUGGCAAAAACUUGUUUUUAAAGUUUCAUUUUGGAGAGCAAAAUUUUUUAUGAUUCGACUCGAUUUUACUCGUGAGUCGCAUAUCAAAGGAAAGAUCAACAUUUUUCCUACGUAUUGACGUUGAAGUUAGCUGCGACCAUCCGCGACCCCGAAAAUUGUUGAAUUUUUUCUUGAAAAUAGCACGAGCGAUUUUGACGUCUUGUUGUAUGAGCCAUACACCGCAAGUAUCGAACUACCUGUCAUAAACGAGCAUUUGAAACAAACAGGCAUAAGAAACAAAGCUGAACAGAGAAAAACAGUUUAAAAAAGGUCGUAAGAUAUGAAUCAUCUCUUUUCAAAACUAACCAUGAAACACUCGGCUGUUUUAGCGCGUAGCACUUAAAAAAUCGUUUUUAGUAAGGAACUUACUCCGCCUUUGUUUAAAUUCUUAACAAUAAUUGUUGAUGCUGUUAAGUACUACACAAUAAUGAAAUGUUGUGAGCGAUAAUUAUUGAGGUUUUUUUGCUGUCUUGACGAUUUUAGUAUAGGACUGCCCUGUUUAGUAAGAGCAAUGGUAUUGAAUGAAGAAAAACUGCAAUAGCACGAGGAAUUGAUUUUCAUCCCGGCGUUUGUAUAGCCGUUGCCCACUGUGCCGGGGGGCUGUGGCGGCGGUUCGCCUGCGCGCGCCCAAUGCACCGUGUUUCUCGCUCAGCGUCCAGUGUGUCGCUGGGUGGUGCCGCCGGGGAGACUGCAUCGUAGCAUCGUCGUGUGUAGCGUGUUACCCGCUUGUCCGACCAUGAACCGUGGCCCACAAGGGUACAAGCUUGCGUACGUCGGUGCAUUCGUGGUGCGCUGCUUCUGCGCGGUCGAUCGUUUAUGAUGUCACGUUUGCCCCCGGUUCCGCGCGCCGCCCGGCUCGAAGACUCCUGGACAGGUCCUUUCGGUCCACGUCAUGGACAGUGCCAGAUGCGGAGUUUGACUGGGGCGGUACAUCUCCAAAACGAUAACGGAGGUGUCCAAAGGUCAGCUCAGUGUGGACAGAAACCACACGCUAAGCAUAAGGACAAAAGCUGGCUUGAUCCCAACGUUCAGUACACUUCGGGACAGCGAAAGCUUGGCCUUACGAUCCUUUUGGUUAUAACGAGUUUUUAGCAAGAGGUGUCAGAAAAGCUACCAUAGGGAUAAAUGGCAUUUUUUUUCAAAACGAGUUUCUUUUUUUGUG
Molecule: ribosomal RNA, 1697 nt
Organism: Anopheles gambiae str. PEST
Lineage: Eukaryota; Metazoa; Arthropoda; Insecta; Diptera; Culicidae
Rfam family: Eukaryotic large subunit ribosomal RNA
Source: Rfam